AAUGAACGUUGGCGGCGUGGACUAGGCAUGCAAGUCGUGCGGAAAGGCUCCUUCGGGAGUACUCGAGCGGCGAAAGGGAGAGUAACGCGUGGAUAUCUACCCCCUGGCCUGGGAUAGCGGCGGGAAACUGCCGGUAAUACCAGAUAAUAUCUGCGGAUCAAAGGUGUGAUUCCGCCGGGGGAUGAGUCCGCGUCCUAUUAGCUAGUUGGUGAGGUAACGGCCCACCAAGGCUGAGAUAGGUACCGGGUGUGAGAGCAUGGCCCGGCUCACUGGGACUGAGACACUGCCCAGACACCUACGGGUGGCUGCAGUCGAGAAUCUUCGGCAAUGGGCGCAAGCCUGACCGAGCGACGCCGCGUGCGGGAUGAAGGCCUUCGGAUUGUAAACCGCUGUCAGAGGGGAGGAAAUGCAUGGGGGUUCUCCCUCAUGUUUGACCUAUCCUCAGAGGAAGUACGGGCUAAGUUCGUGCCAGCCGCCGCAGUAA
Molecule: ribosomal RNA, 484 nt
Filed under: uncultured bacterium
Lineage: Bacteria
Description: partial 16S ribosomal RNA
Rfam family: Bacterial small subunit ribosomal RNA
Source: RNAcentral